RNAcentral lists this ribosomal RNA (279 nucleotides) under uncultured bacterium. RNAcentral describes it as "partial 16S ribosomal RNA". It matches the Rfam family "Bacterial small subunit ribosomal RNA", at positions 506 to 784 of the family's 1533-position model. The record is from RNAcentral.
UGCCAGCCGCCGCGGUAACACGUAGGCACCAAGCGUUAUCCGGAAUUAUUGGGCGUAAAGCGCGUGUAGGCGGUUCGUUAAGUCUGGCGUGAAAGCCCGGGGCUCAACCCCGGAAGUGCGUUGGAUACUGGUAGUCUUGAGUAUGGGAGAGGAAAGUGGAAUUCCGAGUGUAGGAGUGAAAUCCGUAGAUAUUCGGAGGAACACCAGUGGCGAAGGCGGCUUUCUGGACUAAUACUGACGCUGAGAUGCGAAAGCGUGGGGAGCGAACAGGAUUAGAUA